CGACGUAGGGAUCUAUCCACGGGUGGGGGAUAACAGCGGGAAACUGCUGCUAAGACCGCAUGAAGCCCCAAGGUCAGAAGCCUGGGGGCCAAAGGUAUUGGGGUGACCCGAUAUCGCCGGUGGCGGAGCCUGCGUCCGAUUAGCUAGUUGGUGGGGUAAAGGCCUACCAAGGCGUCGAUCGGUAGCUGGUCUGAGAGGAUGGCCAGCCACACUGGGACUGAGACACGGCCCAG
RNAcentral lists this ribosomal RNA (233 nucleotides) under uncultured bacterium. Its description in RNAcentral is "partial 16S ribosomal RNA". It matches the Rfam family "Bacterial small subunit ribosomal RNA", at positions 113 to 334 of the family's 1533-position model. The record is from RNAcentral.